CCUACGGGGAGCAGCAGUGGGGAAUAUUGCACAAUGGGGGAAACCCUGAUGCAGCGACGCCGCGUGAGUGAAGAAGUAUUUCGGUAUGUAAAGCUCUAUCAGCAGGGAAGAAAAUGACGGUACUUGAUUAAGAAGCCCCGGCUAAGUACGUGCCAGCAGCCGCGGUAAUACGGAAGGUCCGGGCGUCAUCCGGAUUUAUUGGGUGUAAAGGGAGCGUAGGCGGCAUGUCAAGCGUGCUGUGAAAUGUCCGGGCUCAACCCGGGCCGUGCAGCGCGAACCGGCGUGCUUGAGUCCGCGGAAAGCAGGCGGAAUGCGUCGUGUAGCGGUGAAAUGCUUAGAUAUGACGAAGAACCCCGAUUGCGAAGGCAGCUUGCUGCAGCGGAACUGACGCUGAUGCUCGAAAGCGCGGGUAUCGAACAGGAUUAGAUACCCUGGUAGUC
This 440-nucleotide ribosomal RNA is filed under the name uncultured bacterium. RNAcentral's name for it is "partial 16S ribosomal RNA". It matches the Rfam family "Bacterial small subunit ribosomal RNA", at positions 338 to 795 of the family's 1533-position model. The record is from RNAcentral.